AAAAAUAAAAAAAAUUAUGAAAAAAGUUUAAAUAUUUAAAUCAAAUUAAAGUAUAAUAAUAAUUAAAUACAAAAAGAUGUGGUAUCACUGUCAAUGAGACAACUAUCCACAAAAACUAAAAUGAAACUGGCAUUAACAACUACAUGUAUAGGUCACCGUACGGCUUUCAACAAUGAGCAAAGCCCAUACCGCAUAGUCGGCUAUAAAAGGCCCCGAUAAGACAAAUGUAAAACAAUAAACGAGAAAAAAAUGGCCAAAUUAAUGUACAAAAAAAUGAACGAAAAACAAAUGUGUAACACAGCAACAAACGACAAC
Molecule: long non-coding RNA, 315 nt
Filed under: Mytilus galloprovincialis (Mediterranean mussel)
Lineage: Eukaryota; Metazoa; Mollusca; Bivalvia; Mytilida; Mytilidae
Source: RNAcentral